UACGUAGGGACCAAGCGUUGUUCGGAUUUACUGGGCGUAAAGGGCGCGUAGGCGGCUUUGUAAGUCACUUGUGAAAUCUCCGGGCUUAACUCGGAACGGUCAAGUGAUACUGCAAUGCUAGAGUGCAGAAGGGGCAAUCGGAAUUCUUGGUGUAGCGGUGAAAUGCGUAGAUAUCAAGAGGAACACCUGAGGUGAAGACGGGUUGCUGGGCUGACACUGACGCUGAGGCGCGAAAGCCAGGGGAGCAAACGGG
RNAcentral lists this ribosomal RNA (253 nucleotides) under uncultured bacterium. Its description in RNAcentral is "partial 16S ribosomal RNA". It matches the Rfam family "Bacterial small subunit ribosomal RNA", at positions 524 to 776 of the family's 1533-position model. The record is from RNAcentral.